GGGGAUUAUCUAGAAUUCUCAUAGGCUUCCAGUCGGAUUCUUCCUUGAUUUGUCUGAGAGCGACGAAGUGAAGCGCAUCACUUUGAAUUUGGUAGAUAUGACAUGCCCAAGGGUAUGCAUCUGGUGCUGACCAAAUCUUCUGCUCCUCAAAUACUGUCUCCUCAGCAAGAGAUUCGGCCACACAAUAUACCAAGUUAGGCUCUGGCUCAGCAAAAUCGGCAACUGCAACACAUCCUGGAGAGACAAAGCCUUCUGGAGCCCUUGGAUGCCAGA
RNAcentral lists this unclassified non-coding RNA (273 nucleotides) under Hevea brasiliensis (rubber tree). The record is from RNAcentral. Lineage: Eukaryota; Viridiplantae; Streptophyta; Magnoliopsida; Malpighiales; Euphorbiaceae.